UGGUACCAGCUGUGGAGACUGAAGUCCUUUGUUUAUUCACAGCACAGGUAGGGCAGAGAAAGCAGCAAAGCAAUAGGCCUCAUACAGCUCCUGAAGUGUGCCUCAGCCCUGCCCUGGAGGCAACACCUCGAAGGGUGAGAGUGUAAUUCAGUCUCCAUCCCUCUCCCGUCCCUAGCACCU
Chelonoidis abingdonii (Abingdon island giant tortoise) is the source of this 180-nucleotide unclassified non-coding RNA. Lineage: Eukaryota; Metazoa; Chordata; Testudines; Testudinidae. The record is from Ensembl.